Molecule: ribosomal RNA, 253 nt
Filed under: uncultured bacterium
Lineage: Bacteria
Description: partial 16S ribosomal RNA
Rfam family: Bacterial small subunit ribosomal RNA
Source: RNAcentral
UACAGAGGUCCCAAGCGUUGUUCGGAUUCAUUGGGCGUAAAGGGUGCGUAGGCGGCGCGGUAAGUCGGGUGUGAAAUCUCUGAGCUUAACUCAGAACGGCCAAGUGAUACUGCAGUGCUAGAGUGCAGAAGGGGCAAUCGGAAUUCUUGGUGUAGCGGUGAAAUGCGUAGAUAUCAAGAGGAACACCUGAGGUGAAGACGGGUUGCUAGGCUGACACUGACGCUGAGGCGCGAAAGCCAGGGGAGCAAACGGG